Molecule: ribosomal RNA, 497 nt
Filed under: uncultured bacterium
Lineage: Bacteria
Description: partial 16S ribosomal RNA
Rfam family: Bacterial small subunit ribosomal RNA
Source: RNAcentral
GAUGAACGCUGGCGGCGUGCCUAAUACAUGCAAGUCGAGCGACCGGACGAUAAGCUUGCUUCUCUGAUGUUAGCGGCUGACGGGUGAGUAACACGUGGAUAACCUACCUCUAUUACUUGGAUAACUUCGUGAAACCGCUGCUACUACCGGCUAAUAUUUUCUACCGCAUGAUUCAAAAGUUAAUGACGGUCUUGCUGUCACUUAUAGCUGAAUCCGCGCUGCAUUAGCUAGUUGGUAAGGUAACGGCUUACCAAGGCAACGAUGCAUAGCCGACCUGAGAGGAUGAUCGGCCACACUGGAACUGAGACACGGUCCAGACUCCUACGGGAGGCAGCAGUAGGGAAUAUUGCACAAUGGGCGAAAGCCUGACGGAGCAACGCCGCGUGAGUGAUGAAGGUCUUCGGAUCGUAAAACUCUGUUAUUAGGGAAGAACAGAUGUGGAAGUAACUGUGCACAUCUUGACGGUACCUAAUCAGAAAGCAACGGCUAACUACGUG